This 491-nucleotide ribosomal RNA is filed under the name uncultured bacterium. Its description in RNAcentral is "partial 16S ribosomal RNA". It matches the Rfam family "Bacterial small subunit ribosomal RNA", at positions 29 to 506 of the family's 1533-position model. The record is from RNAcentral.
AGUGAACGCUGGCGGUAGGCCUAACACAUGCAAGUCGAACGGCAGCACAGUAAGAGCUUGCUCUUACGGGUGGCGAGUGGCGGACGGGUGAGGAAUACAUCGGAAUCUACUUUUUCGUGGGGGAUAACGUAGGGAAACUUACGCUAAUACCGCAUACGACCUACGGGUGAAAGCAGGGGAUCUUCGGACCUUGCGCGAUUGAAUGAGCCGAUGUCGGAUUAGCUAGUUGGCGGGGUAAAGGCCCACCAAGGCGACGAUCCGUAGCUGGUCUGAGAGGAUGAUCAGCCACACUGGAACUGAGACACGGUCCAGACGCCUACGGGAGGCAGCAGUGGGGAAUAUUGGACAAUGGGCGCAAGCCUGAUCCAGCCAUACCGCGUGGGUGAAGAAGGCCUGCGGGUUGUAAAGCCCUUUUGUUGGGAAAGAAAAGCAGCAGGUUAAUACCCCGCUGUUCUGACGGUACCCAAAGAAUAAGCACCGGCUAACUUCGU